RNAcentral lists this ribosomal RNA (497 nucleotides) under uncultured bacterium. RNAcentral describes it as "partial 16S ribosomal RNA". It matches the Rfam family "Bacterial small subunit ribosomal RNA", at positions 28 to 507 of the family's 1533-position model. The record is from RNAcentral.
GAUGAACGCUGGCGGCGUGCCUAAUACAUGCAAGUCGAGCGAACAGACGAGGAGCUUGCUCCUCUGACGUUAGCGGCGGACGGGUGAGUAACACGUGGAUAACCUACCUAUAAGACUGGGAUAACUUCGGGAAACCGGAGCUAAUACCGGAUAAUAUGUUGAAUCGCAUGGUUCAACAGUGAAAGACGGUCUUGCUGUCACUUAUAGAUGGAUCCGCGCCGCAUUAGCUAGUUGGUAAGGUAACGGCUUACCAAGGCAACGAUGCGUAGCCGACCUGAGAGGGUGACCGGCCACACUGGAACGGGGACACGGUCCAGACUCCUACGGGAGGCAGCAGUAGGGAAUCUUCCGCAAUGGGCGAAAGCCUGACGGAGCAACGCCGCGUGAGUGAAGAAGGUCUUCGGAUCGUAAAACUCUGUUAUUAGGGAAGAACAAAUGUGUAAGUAACUAUGCACGUCUUGACGGUACCUAAUCAGAAAGCCACGGCUAACUACGUG